RNAcentral lists this ribosomal RNA (269 nucleotides) under uncultured Oscillibacter sp. RNAcentral's name for it is "partial 16S ribosomal RNA". It matches the Rfam family "Bacterial small subunit ribosomal RNA", at positions 73 to 339 of the family's 1533-position model. Lineage: Bacteria; Bacillati; Bacillota; Clostridia; Eubacteriales; Oscillospiraceae. The record is from RNAcentral.
AUUCGUCCAAGUGAAGUAGAGGACAGUGGCGGACGGGUGAGUAACGCGUGAGGAACCUGCCUUUCAGAGGGGGACAACAGUUGGAAACGACUGCUAAUACCGCAUGACACAUUGGGGUCGCAUGAUCUUUAUGCCAAAGAUUUAUCGCUUCAAGAUGGCCUCGCGUCUGAUUAGCUAGUUGGCGGGGUAACGGCCCACCAAGGCGACGAUCAGUAGCCGGACUGAGAGGUUGAACGGCCACAUUGGGACUGAGAUACGGCCCAGACUCC